RNAcentral lists this ribosomal RNA (468 nucleotides) under uncultured bacterium. RNAcentral describes it as "partial 16S ribosomal RNA". It matches the Rfam family "Bacterial small subunit ribosomal RNA", at positions 28 to 507 of the family's 1533-position model. The record is from RNAcentral.
GACGAACGCUGGCGGCGUGCUUAACACAUGCAAGUCGAACGGAAAGGCCCUGCUUUUGUGGGGUGCUCGAGUGGCGAACGGGUGUGUAACACGUGAGUAACCUGCCCUUGACUUUGGGAUAACUUCAGGAAACUGGGGCUAAUACCGGAUAGGAGCUCCUGCUGCAUGGUGGGGGUUGGAAAGUUUCGGCGGUUGGGGAUGGACGCGCGGCUUAUCAGCUUGUUGGUGGGGUAGGGGUUGACCAAGGCUUUGACGGGUAGCCGGCCUGAGAGGGUUACCGGCCACAUUGGGACUGAGAUACGGCCCAGACUCCUACGGGCGGCAGCAGUGGGGAAUAUUGCACAAUGGGCGGAAGCCUGAUGCAGCAACGCCGCGUGCGGGAUGACGGCCUUCGGGUUGUAAACCGCUUUCGCCUGUGACGAAGCGUGAGUGACGGUAAUGGGUAAAGAAGCAACGGCUAACUACGUG